RNAcentral lists this long non-coding RNA (529 nucleotides) under Triticum aestivum (bread wheat). Its description in RNAcentral is "long non-coding RNA (TAES_LNC014464)". Lineage: Eukaryota; Viridiplantae; Streptophyta; Magnoliopsida; Poales; Poaceae. The record is from RNAcentral.
UCACUAGCUUAUGUGAACUUAUAUCCUUUCUGAAUAUGAACUUCUCCUCACAAUCUAGACUAGUCGCGCCAUCGCGUUUUCUCUGGGUUGACAUUUAGAAAAUAUAUGCUGAUAGUGAUACUGGAACAUUUGUUUCCUUUCAACUUCCACAGGCAUGCAUGAGCAUGCUUUACACAAACACCUAGCAUGAAAGGAUUGCAAAGACUCCAGAGAUGAGCCUGACAUCCAUUUUCUUCCUCUCUUUUUUCCAUUGUUGAUGCUGCUAAACUAGAGCGUCUUCCGGUCAAAGAAGACAGGCCUGCAGUUCAAACAUCAAUUCAAUUCUUUCAUAAGCAAAAUACAGAAACAUUUUUGCAGUUAGUUUUAGUGCAAAUUUGGAGAAGUUCAAAUCCUCCAGCAGAGAAGAUAUUUGUGAAGAAAGAGAGGUCAGGGAGAGGGAGGGAGUGAGAUCGGGGAAGAGAAGUAGAAGCAAUACCUGCAACAUUGGCGUCCGUCGACUGUCGCCAUGGUCAGAGUUAGGUUGGCGCCG